RNAcentral lists this unclassified non-coding RNA (89 nucleotides) under Paenimyroides ummariense. RNAcentral's name for it is "Flavobacterium ummariense Flavo-1 RNA". Lineage: Bacteria; Pseudomonadati; Bacteroidota; Flavobacteriia; Flavobacteriales; Flavobacteriaceae. The record is from RNAcentral.
UUGCGGCAGGGAUAGCAGCGGUUAGCCCGCAGGUUGGUUUUGUGGAACAAAACGCAACCGAGGACUAUGAGCGGAUAGCCCGAUGCUUU